ACACAGCCCGAUGGGUCUCCAAGCCCCAGAACAUACCCGUCCCUCCCUUGAGCUCUGGCACAAGACGGCACGUCUGGAAGCCAGCUCAGCACGCCUGGACUCAAGGAGGUGUUGCUACCAUUCGAAUUGUUGGCUUUUCUCCGGGAUUCACUUCUCUUCUCUCCAGGGAUUACCAAGCCUUUGAAGGGACCCGCUUCUCAAGGCUCAGAGUGUUUGAUUAAAUUGCUCGUUCCAGGUGUGCGCUUGGCCACAAGAUGAUACUUGAGAGGCUUGACUUCAAGAUUAUGAUCACCGUUGCGGGUGGCCUCCUGAUGGCCGCGAGCCUGCUGAUGUGCUUUAUCAUCUGUCUUAGCUACAAAGUGACAAAGUCAAUGAAGGGAGAGAAGAUGGAAAAUGUAACGAGCAAUGAUGCUGACAAAAAAGAUAAGAAACCCGCUUUGGAAGCAGGUCAACCUGAGGUUCCGCCAACUCCAGCGUCAAAGCCCCGGUGACAGUCUUGGAGAGAGAUGCCCUGGGGACCCUCAGUCCAGACAGGUGGGGCCCCGGCGUCUCCCAGCCACCGUGCUGCCUUGGGAAGCACAGUCAGCCCGGCUACCUCCCGACUCUGUCCCUUCAGUGUCCACGGUCCCUCGAGGGUAGGAGCCGCCUCUCACCCCCGGGGUCCCCGCACACAGCCCAGACUCCUUAGGUGUCAGGGGUAAUAACCCCCCGUCGCCUUUGCACCAGAUAAACCUCUCAGACACAGCAGUAAAUCAUGAAUAGCAUUAAUUUUGCUGACUGGUAAGAGUAUGUUACGCAUUAGGAUGUUUAGUAAAAUAAUUUCCUGC
RNAcentral lists this long non-coding RNA (827 nucleotides) under Bos taurus (domestic cattle). Its description in RNAcentral is "long non-coding RNA NONBTAT016364". The record is from RNAcentral. Lineage: Eukaryota; Metazoa; Chordata; Mammalia; Artiodactyla; Bovidae.